Molecule: ribosomal RNA, 1095 nt
Filed under: Enterococcus raffinosus ATCC 49464
Lineage: Bacteria; Bacillati; Bacillota; Bacilli; Lactobacillales; Enterococcaceae
Description: bacterial SSU rRNA
Rfam family: Bacterial small subunit ribosomal RNA
Source: RNAcentral
AGAGAAGAACAAGGAUGAGAGUAGAAUGUUCAUCCCUUGACGGUAUCUAACCAGAAAGCCACGGCUAACUACGUGCCAGCAGCCGCGGUAAUACGUAGGUGGCAAGCGUUGUCCGGAUUUAUUGGGCGUAAAGCGAGCGCAGGCGGUUUCUUAAGUCUGAUGUGAAAGCCCCCGGCUCAACCGGGGAGGGUCAUUGGAAACUGGGAAACUUGAGUGCAGAAGAGGAGAGUGGAAUUCCAUGUGUAGCGGUGAAAUGCGUAGAUAUAUGGAGGAACACCAGUGGCGAAGGCGGCUCUCUGGUCUGUAACUGACGCUGAGGCUCGAAAGCGUGGGGGGCAAACAGGAUUAGAUACCCUGGUAGUCCACGCCGUAAACGAUGAGUGCUAAGUGUUGGAGGGUUUCCGCCCUUCAGUGCUGCAGCUAACGCAUUAAGCACUCCGCCUGGGGAGUACGACCGCAAGGUUGAAACUCAAAGGAAUUGACGGGGGCCCACACAAGCGGUGGAGCAUGUGGUUUAAUUCGAAGCAACGCGAAGAACCUUACCAGGUCUUGACAUCCUUUGACCACUCUAGAGAUAGAGCUUCCCCUUCGGGGGCAAAGUGACAGGUGGUGCAUGGUUGUCGUCAGCUCGUGUCGUGAGAUGUUGGGUUAAGUCCCGCAACGAGCGCAACCCUUAUUGUUAGUUGCCAUCAUUUAGUUGGGCACUCUAGCGAGACUGCCGGUGACAAACCGGAGGAAGGUGGGGAUGACGUCAAAUCAUCAUGCCCCUUAUGACCUGGGCUACACACGUGCUACAAUGGGAAGUACAACGAGUCGCGAAGUCGCGAGGCUAAGCUAAUCUCUUAAAGCUUCUCUCAGUUCGGAUUGUAGGCUGCAACUCGCCUACAUGAAGCCGGAAUCGCUAGUAAUCGCGGAUCAGCACGCCGCGGUGAAUACGUUCCCGGGCCUUGUACACACCGCCCGUCACACCACGAGAGUUUGUAACACCCGAAGUCGGUGAGGUAACCUUUUGGAGCCAGCCGCCUAAGGUGGGAUAGAUGAUUGGGGUGAAGUCGUAACAAGGUAGCCGUAUCGGAAGGUGCGGCUGGAUCACCU